RNAcentral lists this ribosomal RNA (775 nucleotides) under uncultured Neocallimastigales. Its description in RNAcentral is "partial large subunit ribosomal RNA". It matches the Rfam family "Eukaryotic large subunit ribosomal RNA", at positions 26 to 646 of the family's 3401-position model. The record is from RNAcentral. Lineage: Eukaryota; Fungi; Neocallimastigomycota; Neocallimastigomycetes; Neocallimastigales.
CGCAUCUGUGCAUGCAGCAUAUCAAUAAGCGGAGGAAAAGAAACUAACAAGGAUUCCCUUAGUAACGGCGAGUGAAGCGGGAAGAGCUCAAAUUUGAAAUCUUCAAGGUUUUACCUUGACGAAUUGUAGUUUAAAGAAGUGUUUUCUGUUGAAGUUUUGGUAAAAGUUCUUUGGAAUAGGACAUCAUAGAGGGUGAGAAUCCCGUAUUUGACCAUUAUUUUCAGCUGUGUGAUACACUUUCAAAGAGUCGGAUUGUUUGGGAAUGCAGUCCAAAAUGGGUGGUAAAUUUCAUCUAAAGCUAAAUAUUGGCGAGAGACCGAUAGCGAACAAGUACCGUGAGGGAAAGAUGAAAAGAACUUUGAAAAGAGAGUUAAACAGUACGUGAAAUUGUCAAAAGGGAAGCGUUUGACACCAGUGUUGUUUUCCUCGAAAAUCAAUUAAAAAGAGUUAGAUUUUGUUGUGUAUUGACCUUAACAGCUUGCAUUUCAAUUUUCUUGCUUUUUUUAAUGCACUUUUCGUUUAACAAGUCAACAUCAGUUUCUUUUGUUGUAAAAAGGUCAUUGGAAGGUGGCUUUCUUUUCGGAGAAAGUGUUUAUAGCCUUUGACUCCUGCAAUCGGAGAGACUGAGGUCUGCAGCGUAGAUCCUUCGGGGUUAGAUACAUUUGUGCUAAGUUAUAGCUUUUUAUAGACAACUUGUUGACUAUGAUUAGUCUUGUAGCUUACUCGCUUAUGCUAUUUUACCUACGCUUAGGAUGUUGAUGUGAUACUGCGAGCA